Molecule: long non-coding RNA, 3060 nt
Organism: Pyrus x bretschneideri (Chinese white pear)
Lineage: Eukaryota; Viridiplantae; Streptophyta; Magnoliopsida; Rosales; Rosaceae
Exons: 3
Source: RefSeq, a predicted model, not a curated record
AAAACACUUUCCUCAAUCUUCACGCCUCACUCUCUCCUCAUUUCCUUGAUUCCGCAUCUCUGUGUUUCCCCAUUCAAACCCAACCUCUCCUUAAUUCCUCCGCCUCUCCUCUCUCUCUGGCUCUCAUUUUCCCAAUCGAACCGAGCCUCUCUUCAACCUUAGGCUCUCUCUCUCUUUCUAUAUUUUUCCAAAAUUUUGCUAUUUCCCUCUCUCUCUGUCUCUCUAGCCUCUCAUCUCAAUUCUCAAGUCAUGCAAAAACAGAAUUUGCAAAUCCUUCCCCUUCAAAUCUCACACACACUGCAAAUAGGUGGGUCUCAACUCAAGUCUUUAGUCCAGUUCACACAUUCUCAUAGACUCUGCAAAUCCCUCUCCUUCACACAUAAUUUGCAAAUCAGUCGGCCUCAACUCUUAUCUCAUCCAUAGUUCCCCUUCAGUUCAGUGCCUGCAUAAUGUGAUUCCUUCCUCUCCACUUCGUUCCAGGUAAAAUGGUAACAAUUUAGAACUUGUAAUGCUUAAUUUAGUUAAUAAUUUGUGAUUAAUUUUAGGGUUAGGGUUCGUUUGAAACACAAGGCAACUGUGCUUUUUUCUCUUUUGGGCUAUAAUCAAAAGGGGAUUUUAUCUGGUUCAGAUUCAAACAGACCCAUUUUUGCUUCGAAUGGAAAGUGACCUGUUGUCACUUCAAAUAGGUUUAGACUGGAAGGUGAUUGGCUAUUUUUAUGAAUUAACAAAUAUUGAGUUGUAUAUGUACUAAUUAAUUUAUUAGCCAAUGGUAUAUUUGGCUUUGGAAAGCUGCUAUUCAGUUUGAAGCUUCUAUAUGUGACAUGGUUUUUCGUAUUUUUUACUAUGCAUUUGAGGGUUUCUUGUUUCUUGAUGUUACUUGGUUGAUAUAAGCGGCACGGAUGAUUACUGGAAGAGGCAAGAUGCAGCACAAGUUAUGGCUCUAUUAGUUUGGGAAGGACUUGGGCUUGAAGGGGGAGCAGCUGUUGGAAACUGGAACGGGGAGAAGGAUAAGAAUAAAGUUCUUCUUGGAUUAGGCGGUGGACAUUAUGCUCCUCGGCAUAUAGAUAUUGUUCUGUAAGUUAUAGUCACCUUACAGUUCAUCCAUUUUCUUUCAAAUAUAUAGCAUUGAUUUCUUAGUGGCAAUGUGGCAUGGCAUCCAGCUUUAUUCUUUGUUUCCUUCUGUGUGCGGUUUGAUGCAUAACUUAUUAACUGUAAACUGAACCUCUUUAUUUUGAUUGAUCCUGUCAAAGUAAAUAUGGUAAAUAAGUCUGCUAUAAACGAAUGGGAUUACUAGACUGUAGAUGAUACUUUCUUCAUCCCGUUCAGAACUUUGAGCUUUUGCUUCCUCCUUCCUUUUCUCUGUCUCUGCAGCUUCUGUAACACCCAUAAGUCCCGCAUUACCCUCCCAGCCCCUUCUUGCUUCCUCUUCCAUCUCUAUCAAAUGAACUGGCAUUGAUAGUACUUUGAUCUGUUAUUGUCAAAUUGCUCUGGUACUGGAAGUGGCAAAUGAUUUAUUUGUUCAAGUCUCUUCCAAAUUUUCUCCUAAUCUUCCCUUUAUAGUUAAUUUUAUUUCCAACUAGCUCUUGUAUGCUCUCGUCAAAUUGCUUGAUAUGAUGUUGUUAACUUCCAACUAGCUUUCAACUUUGGCAAACUAUAUGUAAGCUAUAAGAAAGCUAGUAUUUAGCAACUGUAAGAAUCCAGCUACAAUUCAUUGUUGUGACUUAUGAAAUUCCUAUUACCUUACUCUUGCUAAGGGUGUUGAUAUCAUAUAUAUUCAUUUGUUUCCUUAAUUUGAAGUUUUAUUUUUAAUGGGUUAAACAAAUAAUGAUGAGAAUUGAAUUUUUAAGUAAAGUACUUGUUUGGCGUGUUUGUGGUGUUAUAGGAAGCAGGGUCUCAGAUAAAUUUGUAGAACAUUAAUUGAAAGGAAGAUGGGUUAAGCGUUUAUGGUUUUUGUAAUUCCAAAUUUCAAAUUUGUUUUAUUCUAUUUCUGAAUAUGUAGUUUUAACAUUUUUGAGGGUACAAUGCAUGUUAAUUCUAAGAAGAGGAGAUUUGAAUUUGUAAAGUGCAGGUCUCCAACUGCUCCGCUCUCUUAGUGUAAGUACAUCUCUGCAUAUCUUUAUUUCCUCAAUUAUAUUUGACUUUGUUAUGUUGGGUUCCCAAAUUAAAGAUCUUAUACAAUCUUUUUGUAGCUUUCUAAAGUUUGGAAUUUUCUUGAUAUGUGCUUACAUGGUGCUUAACUUGGUUUGUGCUUACUUUCCGUUUCAUGGUUGUAGGCUGUUUUCAUUUUAUGAAAAUUUAAAUUUUUGCAUUUCCUCAAUUCAGUUUUAGUUUUUUAAAUUUUGAUUUUUUUUAAUAUUUAUUUCUUGCUGGCACAAUUAUAAUGUAAGUGUCAAUAUGGCUGGAAAAGGUCUUUUGAUAAAGUAGUCAGAAACAGGCACAAAUAGUGGUCUGCCUGUUUGAGCACCAAACAGUGUAUUGUGCCCUUUUAGUAAAGGUGACGCCCAUAGAGGGCACAAAUACAAAUAUAGUUGCUGCACUGUUGCUAUUGGUCUAUGGGCACAUAUGUUGGUGCUCUUUGGCCUCAAAGAGCACAUAUAAUUUAUUGUGCGCAGUGCUCAUCUUUUUUGUAGUGAUGAGGCUUUCCAAUGCUACCAUUGCUUUAGAGAAAUAAAGUGAACAAUUCAGAAAGCUCUUUUGAUAUAUUCCAGAUGUUAAUUUAUGCGCAGUAUUACUGAAACUUACAGGUCUACUGGGGCAACUUGUUUAGAUUUCUAAAUUUUCAGACUUUAACAGAAGUUCGUUAACGUUGUACUGGCAAUGUUUCGUUAGUUGAUUUUCGAACGUUGUUGUUUCAAUGUUUCCAUGUUCCAUUGUGGAUCAGUAUGUCCAUGGAGCAUAUGCGAAUUAGGCAGUUGAUCAGAGGACUGUGCUCUCCCUUUACACUCAAGUUUGAAUUUUCUUAAUUACCGUAGAGAUGAAAGGUUUUGUAUAACCUUGUGUAUCAGACUUUCUACAAGUUGUUCCAAAGUCGAAGCUUUCAAUUUCUACAUUCUACGAAAA